Molecule: non-coding RNA, 406 nt
Organism: Grammomys surdaster
Lineage: Eukaryota; Metazoa; Chordata; Mammalia; Rodentia; Muridae
Source: the annotation of a RefSeq genome assembly
UGUCCUCUUCCUGAACACACUGAGUCUAACCAUGGGCUGGAGUUGGGUGUUUCUCUUUCUCCUGUCAGUAACUGCAGGUGUCCACUCCCAGGUUCAGCUGCAGCAGUCUGGAGCUGAGUUAGUGAAGCCUGGGACUUCAAUGAAGUUGUCCUGCAAGGCUUCUGGCUAUGACUUCACCAGCUAUGAUAUAAACUGGGUAAAGCAGAGUCCUGAACAGGGAAUGGAGUGGAUUGGAUGGAUUUAUCCUGGAAGUGGUGGUACUGGCUACAAUAAUAAAUUCAAAGGCAAGGCCACCUUUACUGCAGACAAAUCCUCCAACACAGCCUACAUGCAGCUCAGCAGCCUGACAUCUGAGGACUCUGCAGUCUAUUACUGUGCAAGACACAGUGUUAUAACCACAUCCUGA